AGGGUUUGAUUCUGGCUCAGAACGAACGCUGGCGGCAGGCCUCAUACAUGCAAGUCGAGCGGUCCUUCGGGACAGCGGCGAACGGGUUAGUAACGCGUGGGAACGUGCCCUUUAGUACGGAAUAGCCAUUGGAAACGAUGAUUAAUACCGUAUACGCCCCAAGGGGGAAAGAUUUAUCGCUAAAGGAUCGGCCCGCGUUAGAUUAGGUAGUUGGUAGGGUAAUGGCCUACCAAGCCGACGAUCUAUAGCUGGUUUGAGAGGAUGAUCAGCAACACUGGGACUGAGACACGGCCCAGACUUCUACGGAAGGCAGCAGUAGGGAACCUUGGACAAUGGGCGAAAGCCUGAUCCAGCCAUGCCGCGUGAGUGAUGAAGGCCCUAGGGUUGUAAAGCUCUUUCGCCAGGGAAGAUAAUGACGGUACCUGGUAAAGAAACCCCGGCUAACUCCGUGCCAGCCGCCGCGGUAAUA
Molecule: ribosomal RNA, 469 nt
Filed under: uncultured bacterium
Lineage: Bacteria
Description: bacterial SSU rRNA
Rfam family: Bacterial small subunit ribosomal RNA
Source: RNAcentral